UACAGAGGUGGCAAGCGUUGUUCGGAAUUACUGGGCGUAAAGGGCGCGUAGGCGGCCUUCUAAGUCGAACGUGAAAUCCCCGGGCUCAACCCGGGAACUGCGUCCGAUACUGGAAGGCUUGAAUCCGGGAGAGGGAUGCGGAAUUCCAGGUGUAGCGGUGAAAUGCGUAGAUAUCUGGAGGAACACCGGUGGCGAAGGCGGCAUCCUGGACCGGCAUUGACGCUGAGGCGCGAAAGCUAGGGGAGCAAACGGG
Molecule: ribosomal RNA, 253 nt
Filed under: uncultured bacterium
Lineage: Bacteria
Description: partial 16S ribosomal RNA
Rfam family: Bacterial small subunit ribosomal RNA
Source: RNAcentral